UUUGGAUUUCUCCUCUGUUCUGUGAUAGAUCCUACUUGUUUCUUGUUGGUGGUGGGUUAUAUUACUGAUGCUCUACCGAACAACGUCAUUACUCUACUACAGCAAUUUAUCGUCACUUUAAUCAAUAAAAAUGGCAGGUCACAAUCUCCUUCAAUGGAACUGUAAAAGCAUCAGAAGAGCUAUGAAGUCAUCCCCAACAAAUGCUCUUCAAAUUGAAUGCGUCGAGGCUCCUCUGCAGCUACGGCGACAAUUUCUGUCAGAUAGGUUAUUUUAAACUUGGAAAUAAAUAAGAACUCUCCAGGAGCUAAUGCAGAGUUCAACAGUAUCUCUGAAAGGAACUGGCCAGGUUGGCUACAUCUUUAUACAGAUGCAUCUAAAAUUUCGGAUUCCGAUAAUGUAGGAGCAGCGGUCUGGAUUCCAAAGUAUAAAAUAAUCCUUAAUUAUAAAUGCCCACCUAAAUGUUCAAUAUUUACAGGUGAGUCUAUUGCCUUACUUGAAGCUGUCACCUUUAUUGAAUCUCAUAAACUGGCGAGAUCAAUUGUGUUUUCAGAUUCUCUUAGUUGCCUUCAGGACAUCAUUAAAAAACCAUUUCACUCGAAGGAUAAUUUUUACCUGACUCUCAAAAUUAAGGAAGUUUUAUUUAAAUGCCAACAAUCGGGGAUUGAAGUUAUUUUGGCAUGGAUCCCAAGCCACAGUGGCAUAACAGGAAAUGAAAUCGCUGACCAAUGCGCCAAAGAGGCUAUCCGCACGGGUAGAGAGGUGUAUAACAAAUAAUUUUCUAGAGAUAUUCGUUGUCUUGCUAAACCACAUUUACAUAAAUCAUGGACGGAAAGGUGGAACAAUUCUAGGCUCAUAAAGGGUAAGCAUUAUGGUGGCAUCCAGCCAUUUGUUCCCAUAAAACCAUGGUUUUUUAAAUAUCGCAAUUUCGACAAACCUGU
This is a long non-coding RNA of Pectinophora gossypiella (pink bollworm), 938 nucleotides long. RefSeq lists it as uncharacterized. The record is from RefSeq and is a predicted model, not a curated record. NCBI's taxonomy places the organism in Eukaryota, Metazoa, Arthropoda, Insecta, Lepidoptera, Gelechiidae. The transcript has 4 exons.